GACGAACGCUGGCGGCGUGCUUAACACAUGCAAGUCGAACGGAAAGGCCCUGCUUUUGUGGGGUGCUCGAGUGGCGAACGGGUGAGUAACACGUGAGUAACCUGCCCUUGACUUUGGGAUAACUUCAGGAAACUGGGGCUAAUACCGGAUAGGAGCUCCUGCUGCAUGGUGGGGGUUGGAAAGUUUCGGCUGUUGGGGAUGGACUCGCGGCUUAUCAGCUUGUUGGUGGGGUAGUGGCUUACCAAGGCUUUUACGGGUAGCCGGCCUGAGAGGGUGACCGGCCACAUUGGGACUGAGAUACGGCCCAGACUCCUACGGGAGGCAGCAGUGGGGAAUAUUGCACAAUGGGCGGAAGCCUGAUGCAGCAACGCCGCGUGCGGGAUGACGGCCUUCGGGUUGUAAACCGCUUUCGCCUGUGACGAAGCGUGAGUGACGGUAAUGGGUAAAGAAGCACCGGCUAACUACGUG
Molecule: ribosomal RNA, 468 nt
Filed under: uncultured bacterium
Lineage: Bacteria
Description: partial 16S ribosomal RNA
Rfam family: Bacterial small subunit ribosomal RNA
Source: RNAcentral